AUCAAUAUUAUAUACUUUUGAGCUAUUUUCUCUCUUCUCCCAUGGAUGCCAUGUUUCUUAACAUGGUAUCAGAGCAAAAAUGGUAUCCACCUUAGAGAAAUAUUCCGCUGCAAUUUUCUCGAGAAAAUUUAAUUUUUUCUCAAUCUUCAUUUUCCAUUGCCCUUUCUGUUCUAUUUUUCCUGAGAAAUUCAUUUUCUAGCACUGUUCAUUUUCCAUCUUAGAAAAUCACUUUUCUCCUCUUUCAAUUUCGAUUUUGUUUACUGAUUUUCUUAUUCUGGUCCAUUUUUUUCUUGUUCGAAUUCUUGAUCGAUCAAAUUUUCAGCCUAUGAAUCUUUCAAUUUCUUGUUGAGAUUGUUUCUUUUCCGAUCAAUUUCCGUUCCUUCUUCAUUUUGCGAUUUCUCCUCAAUCGCAAUUUUUCAUCCUUUUCCCAAAUUCUAGGGUUCGCGAUUUCAAUUUUAAUCGCAUUUCAGUUCACUGAAUCAUUCAUUUCCGCUUCCGAUCUCAUCACGACUAUGUCUGGUACUGUGAUAUUUGAUAAUUGCUUGGUAUGACGCAUCAUANNNNNNNNNNNNNNNNNNNNNNNNNNNNNNNNNNNNNNNNNNNNNNNNNNNNNNNNNGUUGAUUGUUAUUCUCUUGGAGUGUUAUUUUCUGCGUUAACAUGCAAAGGUUCGGAGUUUAGAUUGCUCUUGGUGGUGAUCUUUGCCUCUGUUUUCUCCAUCAUCUUCAUUGCUUUGAGGUUUGAGAUAUAUUUCUUUUGACAAUUCUGUUGUGUAUUAGUUGCUUCUGGUUCUUGCCUUUCUUUGAAUUUGAAGCCUAAUUGCAACAAAUUUGAGUUGAUAUCUGCAAUUGAUACAUUACAUAUGAGUUGUGUUAUUGCAAGUUUAUGUUGCAACUUGCAAGUGAUGAUUUCAGAGGUGAUUUACUGCAAGUUUCUUGUGCAAUGGAUAUGAUAUGCCACACGAUUCUGGAUAUAUCUUGUGCUGGAUAUUUCAGUUAUCCUUUGGUGUUUUCUUACUUCAGUUUAUAAAGCAUUUACAUGCUUUCACAGUUCUUGUUGUUAUGGAUGUUUGUUGCUCCAUAUGAGGACGCUGCUAUUGAUGCAAGUGUGGUAGAUGGUGUUGUUGUGAUUACACCUACUUGUCUUUGUGUUGCAUUCGUUUCUGCAAUGGUCUUGUUUUGAAGGUUUUACUAUGAGACGAAUAUGAAUUGGAAGCAUAUAUUAGUGAUGGUUCUUUGAAUUUCUAGUUUUUCUUUGUUUGGUGUUUAUGGGCUGAAGACAUAGUUAAUCUCAUGCUCAUGGAUUUAGCUUACGUGGCUUACCCAAUAAUUUGGAACUUGUUGUCUAUUUGGUGAAGCCCUACAACAAGUUACUGCUA
This 1376-nucleotide long non-coding RNA is filed under the name Trifolium pratense (red clover). RNAcentral's name for it is "long non-coding RNA (TPRA_LNC005022)". The record is from RNAcentral. Lineage: Eukaryota; Viridiplantae; Streptophyta; Magnoliopsida; Fabales; Fabaceae.